Stegodyphus dumicola is the source of this 373-nucleotide long non-coding RNA. The record is from RefSeq and is a predicted model, not a curated record. NCBI's taxonomy places the organism in Eukaryota, Metazoa, Arthropoda, Arachnida, Araneae, Eresidae.
UACGAUAUUCAUUACGGUUUUAAAGUCGUGUAUCUAAGAAAUGGAGUUCUUCAGACGCAGUCUAGUUUUCCUCAUGGCUUUGGCGAUGGCAGUUUUGACUAUCAUUCAUGCUGUUCCUGACCCUGAACCACAGCCCCAACCUGGUCUCUUAGAUGGUCUCUUAGGGGGAUAAUAAAUGCUGCUACAAUGUACGGAUGUGGAAAGUUAGAAGAUGUCUGAAUACACUUCUCCUGCAUAUAUGUUGCUAUAGAAAUUAGAGAAAAAUUUUAAAAUCUUCGGAAAUUUGUAUAUUAACCAAAAUAUUGUUAUGUGCUUCCUAUUUGAUAUAUAUUUCGAAAAUGUGCAAUAAUAAAAUAUUUCUGGAAGAUUCGUA